UGGCACUUGUAACUCAUAUAGGUGCAAAGUUCUCAUCAAUAGAAACGAAUUAAGUUCAAAAAGCAGGUAAUUGCUAUAAAUUCUUAAAGAGUUCCCUCGACUAUCUUUCGUCUCCAUCAUCAGACUUUAAUGGCACUUGUAACUCAUAUAGGUGCAAAGUUCUCAUCAAUAGAAACGAAUUAAGUUCAAAAAGCAGGUAAUUGCUAUAAAUUGUUGAAGAGUUCCCUCGAC
RNAcentral lists this unclassified non-coding RNA (231 nucleotides) under Melitaea cinxia (Glanville fritillary). RNAcentral's name for it is "misc RNA ENSMCXG00005007633.1". Lineage: Eukaryota; Metazoa; Arthropoda; Insecta; Lepidoptera; Nymphalidae. The record is from RNAcentral.